UACGUAGGGGGCUAGCGUUGUCCGGAAUCAUUGGGCGUAAAGCGCGUGUAGGCAGUUCGGUAAGUCCGCUGUGAAAGUCGGGGGCUCAACCCUCGAAUGCCGGUGGAUACUGUCGGACUAGAGUACGGAAGAGGCGAGUGGAAUUCCUGGUGUAGCGGUGAAAUGCGCAGAUAUCAGGAGGAACACCAAUUGCGAAGGCAGCUCGCUGGGACGUUACUGACGCUGAGACGCGAAAGCGUGGGGAGCAAACAGG
Molecule: ribosomal RNA, 253 nt
Filed under: uncultured bacterium
Lineage: Bacteria
Description: partial 16S ribosomal RNA
Rfam family: Bacterial small subunit ribosomal RNA
Source: RNAcentral